Molecule: long non-coding RNA, 1086 nt
Organism: Hemicordylus capensis (graceful crag lizard)
Lineage: Eukaryota; Metazoa; Chordata; Lepidosauria; Squamata; Cordylidae
Exons: 6
Source: RefSeq, a predicted model, not a curated record
GGGUGGGGUUUGUUGGUCUGGCGGACUCCUGGAGAGGAGCUCAGGCUUUUUGCUCCCAUGGAUAGAGAAAGGAGUGGACUGAACCUAUGUCCCUCCUCCUCCAAGUCUGAGGCAAAUGCCUGCGCCUAUAAUUUAAGACAGGUAAUAAGUGGAAUUAUAACCACUUCUGAAAACCCCAAGCAGGAAUAAUCGGCUCGAUGUAUCCAGUAGACCAUCCUGAGGCUCUUAAAAAGAAGUUUGCUUUAUGAUCCACCUGAGAAUCUGUAGGAUUUGCAAUCAUGGCCCGGGCUAUGCGGUAGAGAUUGAUUAUGUCACUAAUAAAUACAGAGAUUGGAAAUGGGAAGAGCGUAUAUAAUGGAAGCAAAUGAAGACAGCAUUAAGGAUCCGUAAUGGGACAAGUUUUUCAGACAUAAAAGAUUACUAGAGAGAAUACAACAAAAUGGUUAGUUAUGAUCUUUUUGUCUUCCACUGAGAAUUGAUCUAGCACUUCACCAGCCUUUGCAGUUUGGAUCAGCGCCUGACUUAACAUAAUUACAGCUAUAUUUACUUUGUGACAUCAAUACUGAGGUUUUUUCCAUGAUGGCUGUAUGCAAAGCUGAAGAAGUGUAUAAACAGCUUUAAAAUAUUGAAGAAAAUCUGCUUUCCCCUCAUGGUAUGCUAUACCAUCAGUAACAAACUACAUGUAUGCAGAUAUUUCCUCAAGUGCGGAGACAGUAGACCUGUGGUGUAUUCAGAGGGUGACCUAACCAAAAGCGGAGAGUGCAGCUACUAUACUUUUCUAUUAUACCCUUGUACAGAAGAAUUCAUUCUGCCAAGUGCAGCUAUCAUACAGAGCUGUCUCACCUUCUGCAAUUCCCUCUUCCAUACAAACACAGGUAUUGAGAGGCCAUAUUUGGUCUCCCACUCUUUCUCCUCCUCCUCUUAAAAGAGCAAACAAAAUUUGUGAUGGGAUGUGACUUAUAUUGUUGCUUGUAUUUAUAGCCCUAUGUGUUUUCCUUUUUUGUUAAUUAUUUUAUUUAAGCAGUCUACAAAACAUUCAAAAUAUUUAAAAAUAUGUUCAUAUAAAAAGUAUCUAAUAAACCAUUA